Molecule: long non-coding RNA, 1142 nt
Organism: Linepithema humile (Argentine ant)
Lineage: Eukaryota; Metazoa; Arthropoda; Insecta; Hymenoptera; Formicidae
Source: RefSeq, a predicted model, not a curated record
CAUAAUACGUUUCCCGUGUGAUACUCUCUUAAGCUUUCAAUUUAGUUUAGAUAGGUGUAGCUCUGACAUCCACUACCACGGCAUACCAGGCAGCACCCAUGAAGUAUACAAAAGGUUGAGCAAAUACGAUUUAUAAACAAGUAGAAAAUAAAACAUUUGUACACCGUCCCGUCAAAACUUGAAUACAGAUCAGUUAAUUAUUAAUGAGUUGCGUGUAAAUAAUUAACUGACGUGUGGAGGCGAGUUCUGUAUGCGUAAUGAUUGCACAUUCUAGCAAUGACACUAGUCACAUGUGAUUAUUGUACAAUAAUUGUCCACAUUUCGGUAAAAGCAUCUCAAUGUUAAGUGAAAAUACACCUCUGUUUGUUACUAUUAAAAUAAUAUUCAAUUAAAAAUUUCAAGCUUUCUUUAAAUUGAAUCGGAUAGGGCGAAUCCGACGUUCUGUCACAAAAUUUGUAUAUAUUCUACAUCUCAAAAUUGAGAAAAAAGUUUUAAUAAAUAUAAGUUCCAAAAUUAUCACUUUUUAAGGUACAAUUACUUUUAGUUAUAGCGCGAAUCAUACGCGUGAAUUAUUCGAAAAUGAUACACGAAGUAAAAUAAAUGUGAAGAAAUCUUGUCAACAACUUUAUCUGACCUUCUGUCACGUAUCAUGACUUGCUUACCGGUAAUAUCAGUUUUAUCAGAUCUCUGCAAGUGAAGCGUUGUUUCUGUACUUUCUCUCUCGAUUUUUAAUAUUCGUUUUUAAUAUUCAUUUAUAAUAUGCAUAAUAAAUAAAUUUUUAUGUUUAAACAUAUAAAACAAUCACUGAUAUGACGGCUAACAGUGGAAGUUAGUUGAGAAGUAAUACUUCAAAUAAAAGUGACUACAUUUCAAAAGAUAAUUACCUCUCCUUGCAAGUCUGGUAUCGGAGUCGGUGUCCACGAAUAAUUUCAUGUGAAACAAGUCUCGGAUCUUGGGGAAGUAGAAUACCAGUAUUCCUUCGAACAGCACCACAUCAGCAGGAUAUAUCGUGUGCCGCCGGAGACACCGAUCAGGAAGGGUGUCUUGCUUUCGACGCCGUUGAACUUGCCGUUUAUACCAAAGGACAUCUUUCGCGUGAUGCCUACGUUUGAUGGUAGAUCUGCCAUCGUCGAACGCGUGGG